RNAcentral lists this transfer RNA (78 nucleotides) under Candidatus Onthovivens merdipullorum. Its description in RNAcentral is "tRNA-Arg". It matches the Rfam family "tRNA". From Rfam's summary of the family: Transfer RNA (tRNA) molecules are approximately 80 nucleotides in length. Their secondary structure includes four short double-helical elements and three loops (D, anti-codon, and T loops). Lineage: Bacteria; Bacillati; Bacillota; Bacilli; Caryophanales. The record is from RNAcentral.
GCCCCAGUAACUCAGCCCGGAUAGAGUAGCACCCUCCUAAGGUGAAAGUCAGAGGUUCAAAUCCUCCCUGGGGCGCCA